AUCAUUUUGAAAUCACUUCACUCUCACACACACAACGUGCAGUCGCGCGGUGAGCGCUGGAGCGAACGAUCCCGAGGCAACCCAUAGUUGUGUAGCUGUACAGAGGGUGACUGACAGAGGACCAAAACGCUGGCAACUAAUGGACAUAUAGUAUAUUGUUUUGUUUUUUUACUCUGGAACCCUCUGCUACGGGAACAUAUUGAGGAUUAGCUUAGCAGCUGGUGAGAAUGUUCCAAACUAAGCACGGGAUGCUGCCAUAAAACUGGUCCGGAGACGUACUAUAUAUGGUUGUUUCCGUAUCCGAGGAGGGGACAACAAUCUGAUGUGCAGCGCUUCUGGUCACCAAGUUGUUUUCUGCCGGCAAUUAACGCACUCGAUUUGAUAUCAGGGGGACCGUCAUUGGAUUUGAAGGAAUAGGCUAACCGUCGUCGGCUGAUCAAGUGGAUUGUUUGUUGUUGGGGGUUUUUAUCACGGGGAGAGCGUUGUUCAUGUAUUGUGGAUUCCUACUUGUGGGGAGAUAUUGAGGGCUGAAGUGGCUUCGUUCAGGAGAGGCGAGGGAUCGAAGCUUCUAGCCCGGCUGAAGCACUCAGAACUGGGAUAGGCUACUGAGGAGUUCUCAUCCAUCCAAGACCGGUGCUGUGCCUGUCAAGUGGAGGGAUGGCGCUGAGGUGGGAUUCCACGCUGGUGUUGGCCGCCAUGCUUCUGGUUUGCUGUGGCGCCGAUCCCACUGACAUUCUCUACCGGAUGCUCGAGGAGCAGCCGCCCAACACGUUGAUCGGCAGCCUGGCAUCGGACGAGGGCCUGCCCGACUCAGGCCACCUGUACAAGCUGGAGGUGGGCGCCCCUUACCUGCGCGUGGAUGGCAAGACGGGAGACAUUUACACCACAGAGGUCCCCAUCGACCGUGAGACACUGCGGGACUGCCGCAACCUGCUCGAGGGCGACAAGUGCUUCCUGGAGUUCGAGGUGUCCAUCACGGACCUGAAGCAGGGCCAGGGACCGCGGCUGAUUGAGGGCCGCAUCGAGGUGCAGGACGUCAAUGACAACACACCCCAGUUCACCUCGCCCAUCCUCAUGCUGUCCAUCCCAGAGAACACACACAUCGGGGCACUCUUCUCCAUCCCCAUGGCCAGCGACAAGGACUCGGGCCACAACGGCGUAGCCGAGUACUCGCUUAGCGCCGGGCCUGACGCCGACCAGCUCUUCAACCUGCAGGUGGCCGAGGACACAGACGAGAAGCAGCCGCAGCUCAUCGUCAUGGGCAACCUGGACCGUGAGCAGAAAGACUCGUACGAUCUCAACAUCCGUGUGGUGGAUGGGGGCACACCGCCGCGAGCCAGCAGCGCCCUGCUGAGGGUGACCGUCACCGACCAGAACGACAACGCACCCAAGUUUGAGAGGAGCCACUAUGAGGCUGAGCUGGCUGAGAACAGCCCUGUGGGACACUCAGUCUUGCAGGUGAAAGCCAACGACGCUGACAUGGGUACCAACGGGGAGAUCGACUAUAGCCUGCACCAGGCCUCCGAUGCCGUCCAGAGGUUGCUACGCAUUGACCGCUCCACAGGGAUCAUCUACGUCAAGGGGCUGGUGGACCGCGAGGAGGAGAGCUUCCUCAAGUUCUUCGUGGUGGCCAAGGACCGCGGCCCCAACUCCAAGAACUCCAAAGUCCUGGUGACCAUCAACGUCAAGGACCAGAACGAUAAUGCACCCGCCAUCGAGAUCCGUGGCAUCGGCCUGGUCACCCACCACGACGGCGUGGCCAACAUCUCAGAGGACAUGCCCAUCGGCACGCCUGUGGCCCUGGUGCAGGUGUCGGAUCGUGAUGAAGGGGAAAAUGCUGUGGUCACCUGUGUGGUGGCCGGGGACGUCCCCUUCCAGCUGCGGCCCGCCAGCGAGUCAGCCAACGACCGCAAGAGGAAAUACUUCCUGCAGACCACGACCCUGCUAGACUACGAGCGCAUCAAGGACUACAGGAUUGAAAUAGUAGCGGUGGACUCCGGUAACCCUGCACUGUCCAGCACAAACUCCCUGAAGGUGCAAGUCACCGACAUGAAUGACAAUGCCCCUGUAUUCUCCCCCACCCUGUUUGAGGUGGACUUUGCAGAGGAGAAUCAGCCAGGUGAUAAGGUCCUGGAUGUGGUGGCCACGGACGCGGACAGUGGGUCCAACGCAGAGCUGACCUACAGCAUCAUCAUGGACUCGACCACUAAGGGGCUCUUUGAGAUCGACCCCAAAACGGGAGAGGUGCACGUGAGGAAUACGCUGGACCGUGAGCACAGAGAGCAGUACGAGUUCCACGUGGCAGCGGCCGAUAAGGGCUCGCCUAGCCUGAGGGGGACAGCCACGGUAGUGGUCAAGGUGCUGGACCGUAACGACAACGAACCCAAGUUCAUGUUGAGCGGCUACAGCUUCUCCGUUUUGGAGAACAUGCCUCCGCUCAGCCCUGUUGGCAUGGUGACGGUCAUCGAUGCAGAUAAGGGCGAGAACGCCAGGGUUCGGCUCUCGGUGGAGCCCGACAAUGGCAAGUUUGUCAUCCAGAAUGGCACAGGCACUAUCCUUUCCAGCAUCUCCUUUGACCGUGAGAAGGAGAGCACAUACACUUUCCGCCUCAAGGCUGUGGACGCCGGUGACCCUCCCAGGUCCUCCUACGUGGGUGUGACCAUCAACGUCUUGGACGAGAACGAUAACUCCCCCUACGUCACCAAGCCCUCUAACUCCUCCUACAAGUACCUCCCACCUCUCACGACCCCCGAGACACGCGUGGAAGUGGUGGAGGCUGAAGACAUCGACACAGGACCCAACGCCGAGCUGGUCUUCAGCAUUACCGGCGGGAACCCCUACGGACUGUUUCACAUCUCGCCCACCAAUGGGGAGAUAACCCUGGCCCAGGAGUUCACCCGCAAGCACAACGGGCUCCACCGUCUGGUGGUGAAGGUGAGCGACAAAGGCAAGCCACCACGCCACACCACCGCCCUGGUCCACAUCUUCGUCAACGAGACCAUGGGCAACAUCACCCUGAUUGAGUCUCUGGUGGGUCACAGCCUCUACACUCCUCUGGACAGAGACAUUGCCGGGGACCCCAACUACGCGCUGGCCCAGCGCAGCAAUAUCCUGUACGGCAGCCUAGCGGGCAUCGCCGGAGUCAUCCUGGUCAUCGUGGUGGUGGUGGUGAUCCGCCAUCGCAUGCAGAAGGACACCAAGAGCGGCUACCAGGCGGGCAAGAAGGAGAGUAAGGACCUGUACGCCCCCAAAGCAGGGCCCAAGAAUGGCAAGGGCAAAAAGAGCAAGAAGGGCAAGGUGCCCAAGCCCACCAAGCCACUGGAGGAGGAUGAAGAGGCCAGCCUCCAGAAGGGCCUCAACUUCAACCUCAUAAACGAUAGUGUCAAUGACAGUCCCCGGAUCCACCUGCCCCUCAACUACCCCCCGGGCAGCCCCGACCUGGGCAGACACUACCGCUCCAACUCCCCACUGCCCUCCAUCCAGCUGCAGCCCCAGUCCCCCUCUGCCUCCAAGAAGCACCAAGCCGUUCAGGACCUGCCUGCCACCAACACCUUUGUGGGCACAGGUGACAACAACUCUACAGGCUCCGAUCAAUAUUCGGAUUACAGCUACAAGGCAAACCCGCCGAAAUACAGCAACAAACAGCUCCCCCAUCGCCGAGUGACCUUCUCCACGGCCAAUCAGGCUCAAGACCUACAGGACCCCUCCCAGCACAGCUAUUACGACAGCGGAUUGGAGGAAUCGGAGACCCCCAGCUCCAAAUCAUCAUCGGGGCCCCGUAUUGGGCCCCUGGCCCUGCCUGAGGACCACUACGAGAGGACCACCCCGGACGGCAGUAUCGGAGAGAUGGAGCACCCGGAGAACGAUCUCAGGCCUCUGCCUGAUGUGGCCAUGACUGGGAAUUGCACCCAUGAGUGUACCGAGUUCGGCCACUCCGACGCCUGCUGGAUGCCUGGACAGCCCUCCCCCAAUCCAGUGCCUUCUCCGGGGGCAGCGACUCCGGCAAAGGCUGCGAGGAGAUCCCCCUGAGCCAGGCAGCCGAGUACCACUCUGCCACCACACCCACCAACCAGGGCUCCAAGAGAGAGAUUUACCUGUGAGGGCGAUGAUGUGGCCACCACCCCACCACCUUCACCCUUACCCGUAUGCCCACUGUUCCUGACCCCAUGCCCCCAAGCCUACCCCCUCACUGCCCCUGUGCCUAGCUGCUAUGUCGUCUGAGAAGUGCCAUAGCACCACCACCACCCUCCUUUUUAUAACCACCUCCCACCGUAUGAGGCUUUAGAAUCCACAAAACCUCCUAUUAAUUAAAUAAAGAGUACAAAUCAGUCA
Molecule: long non-coding RNA, 4332 nt
Filed under: Salmo salar (Atlantic salmon)
Lineage: Eukaryota; Metazoa; Chordata; Actinopteri; Salmoniformes; Salmonidae
Description: lncRNA (ENSSSAG00000002398.2)
Source: RNAcentral